This 395-nucleotide ribosomal RNA is filed under the name uncultured bacterium. Its description in RNAcentral is "bacterial SSU rRNA". It matches the Rfam family "Bacterial small subunit ribosomal RNA", at positions 505 to 898 of the family's 1533-position model. The record is from RNAcentral.
GUGCCAGCAGCCGCGGUAAUACGUAGGGGGCAAGCGUUGUCCGGAGUUACUGGGCGUAAAGCGCACGCAGGCGGUGAGCCAAGUGUGGGGUGACAGGUGGCGGCUUAACUGCCACAGCGCCUUGCAAACUGGCUGACUUGAGGGCCGAAAAGGGACAUGGAACUCCAGGUGUAGUGGUGAAAUGCGUAGAUAUCUGGAAGAACACCAAAGGCGAAGGCAGUGUCCUGGUCGGCUCCUGACGCUCAGGUGCGAAAGCCAGGGGAGCGAACGGGAUUAGAUACCCCGGUAGUCCUGGCCGUAAACGAUGACCACUAGAUGUGCGGGGUAUCGACCCCCGGCGUGUCGGAGUUAACGCGUUAAGUGGUCCGCCUGGGGAGUACGGUCGCAAGAUUAAA